This 215-nucleotide ribosomal RNA is filed under the name uncultured bacterium. RNAcentral's name for it is "partial 16S ribosomal RNA". It matches the Rfam family "Bacterial small subunit ribosomal RNA", at positions 523 to 733 of the family's 1533-position model. The record is from RNAcentral.
GGACAGAGGUGCCGAGCGUUAGGGCGGAAAUCACUGGGCUUAAAGCGUGUGUAGGCGGGCCGUUAAGUGUCUUGUGAAAUCCCCCGGCUCAACCGGGGAAUUGCUGGGCAUACUGGCGGUCGUUGAGCAAUCUAGGGGCAGAUGGAACAAGUGGUGGAGCGGUGAAAUGGCGUAGAUAUCACUUGGAACGCCAAAGGUGAAGACAGUCUGCUGGG